Molecule: ribosomal RNA, 431 nt
Filed under: uncultured bacterium
Lineage: Bacteria
Description: partial 16S ribosomal RNA
Rfam family: Bacterial small subunit ribosomal RNA
Source: RNAcentral
AACGAACGCUGGCGGCAGGCUUAACACAUGCAAGUCGAGCGCCCCGCCAGGGGAGCGGCAGACGGGUGAUUAACGCGUGGGAACGUACCUUUUGGUUCGGAACAACUCCGGGAAACUGGAGCUAAUACCGGAUAAGCCCUAACGGGGAAAGAUUUAUCGCCGAAAGAUCGGCCCGCGUCUGAUUAGCUAGUUGGUGAGGUAACGGCUCACCAAGGCGACGAUCAGUAGCUGGUCUGAGAGGAUGAUCAGCCACACUGGGACUGAGACACGGCCCAGACUCCUACGGGAGGCAGCAGUGGGGAAUAUUGGACAAUGGGCGCAAGCCUGAUCCAGCCAUGCCGCGUGAGUGAUGAAGGCCUUAGGGUUGUAAAGCUCUUUUGUCCGGGAAGAUAAUGACUGUACCGGAAGAAUAAGCCCCGGCUAACUUCGUG